This 76-nucleotide transfer RNA is filed under the name Flavobacterium johnsoniae. RNAcentral describes it as "tRNA-Leu". It matches the Rfam family "tRNA". Rfam says of the family: Transfer RNA (tRNA) molecules are approximately 80 nucleotides in length. Their secondary structure includes four short double-helical elements and three loops (D, anti-codon, and T loops). The record is from RNAcentral. RNAcentral also lists the same sequence under 1 other name. Lineage: Bacteria; Pseudomonadati; Bacteroidota; Flavobacteriia; Flavobacteriales; Flavobacteriaceae.
GCAGGAAUGGCGGAAUGGUAUACGCGGCAGAUUUAGGAUCUGUUCUUUGAGAGUUCGAAUCUCUCUUCCUGUACAA